AACGAACGCUGGCGGCAUGCCUAACACAUGCAAGUCGAACGAGACCUUCGGGUCUAGUUGCGCACGGGUGCGUAACGCGUGGGAACCUUCCCUUAGGUUCGGAAUAACUCCCCGAAAGGGGUGCUAAUACCGGAUAAUGUCUUCGGACCAAAGAUUUAUCGCCUUUGGAUGGGCCCGCGUUGGAUUAGCUAGUUGGUAGGGUAAAAGCCUACCAAGGCGACGAUCCAUAGCUGGUCUGAGAGGAUGAUCAGCCACACUGGGACUGAGACACGGCCCAGACUCCUACGGGAGGAAGCAGUGGGGAAUAUUGGACAAUGGGCGAAAGCCUGAUCCAGCAAUGCCGCGUGAGUGAUGAAGGCCUUAGGGUUGUAAAGCUCUUUUACCCGGGAUGAUAAUGACAGUACCGGGAGAAUAAGCUCCGGCUAACUCCGUG
RNAcentral lists this ribosomal RNA (433 nucleotides) under uncultured bacterium. RNAcentral's name for it is "partial 16S ribosomal RNA". It matches the Rfam family "Bacterial small subunit ribosomal RNA", at positions 29 to 507 of the family's 1533-position model. The record is from RNAcentral.